Molecule: ribosomal RNA, 496 nt
Filed under: uncultured bacterium
Lineage: Bacteria
Description: partial 16S ribosomal RNA
Rfam family: Bacterial small subunit ribosomal RNA
Source: RNAcentral
GAUGAACGCUGGCGGCGUGCCUAAUACAUGCAAGUCGAGCGAACAGACGAGGAGCUUGCUCCUCUGACGUUAGCGGCGGACGGGUGAGUAACAAGUGGAUAACCUACCUAUAAGACUGGGAUAACUUCGGGAAACCGGAGCGAAUACCGGAUAAGAUAUUGAACAGCAUGGUGCAAGAGUGAAAGACGGUGUUGCGGUCAAUUAUAGAUGGAUCCGCUCGGCAUUAGAUAGUUGGUAGGUAACGGCUUACCAAGGCAACGAUGCGUAGCCGACCUGAGAGGGUGAUCGGCCACACUGGAACUGAGACACGGUCCAGACUCCUACGGGAGGCCGCAGUAGGGAAUCUUCCGCAAUGGGCGAAAGCCUGACGGAGCAACGCCGCGUGAGUGAUGAAGGUCUUCGGAUCGUAAAACUCUGUUAUUAGGGAAGAACAAAUGUGUAAGUAACUAUGCACGUCUUGACGGUACCUAAUCAGAAAGCCACGGCUAACUACGUG